GCAGAUAGCGUCCCUGCAAAACGCAGUCACCGAGCUCUCCACUGCCGUCGUGGUCUCUCAGAAGACAGUUGCCGAAGCAGAAGCGCGAUGCCAGGAUCUGCAAGCCAGGUGGGAUCGGGCGUGCAGAGAGGGGUUCCCGGGGUCCAGAUCAGAGGGAAUCGGACUCGGACGGAGGGGGCAAUUUAGUAGCCCACUUCGAUGGGAACCUGAAGCAUUAUCCCAAUUUCAGAGCAGACGUCGUAUACGCGCUGCAUUUGCUUCGAAAAGACUUCAAAGAUGAGGAGGAAAAAGUGGGUUUUAUUGUGUCUCAUCUGCAUGGGGAAGCAAGAGACUGGUUACGCAAUUUGUGGCGCGAAGAUGGUCUUGCACGCAGGGACUCUGAUGAAUUUCUCAAAGCCAUGGACGCUUGCUUCCAAUCUACUGUUGACGUUGAUGUGGCACGCCAGGAGAUGCAUGGAUUGCGGCAGGGCAAGGCUACAGUGCGUCAGUACCAUUCUCGCUUUUUUGCAUUGCUGAAUGUGCUGGGCUGGGAAAAGGACUCCCUGGCAGUGAGGGACUUGUUUUGGGAAGGGCUUCAUGGCUCAGUGAAAGAUGAGCUGGCUAGGGAGACAGACCUCAAACCCUAGCAGACGUCGUGCAGAGGGCACUCACGAUAGGGGUGCGCCACGAAGAACGCCCUUGGCACAGGGAGGAGGGGCGUCACGUCCGCCCACCAGCUAGAGCGCCUCCUUUUCCUUCCAGGGACCUGGAACGUUCAAACCUUUCGCCUGUGCUGGCAGCGGGGGGGAGAACCAAUGGAACUGGGUGGUGCAAAGGCUCAGACAGCUGCCGGAGCCUCAGCGUCAGGAGCAGUCAAAGCGAAGCCUCCUAGAGGGACCAGGAAGUGUUACAUCUGUGACAGUGCACGGCACAUGGCUAAAGAGUGUCCCCAGAGGCUCCAGAAGCACACUGCAGCCUUAGCAACAGUAACAGGGGAAGCGUUCCAAGGGGAGCAGUUUCAGGGAAACGAGAAUGCCUGGUUGGAGGGAGAGACGCUGGGGCUCCGCCAGGCAAGUCAGUGAAGCAGUCCCCAGCGCUUUUGCAGCCUACAGACCCCUUACCACCCAAGCCAGUGGUGCAGCUCACUGCUACUCUCCAGCUGCCUAAUGGACUCACCCUGGAAGUCCCCAUUACGAUUGACUCAGGGAGCAACGCAGACUUCGUGGGGGUGCAGUUCGUCAAGCAGCAUCGCAUAGCGCUACUACCAGCCACGCUGCCUCUGAAUGUGGUCACUGUAGAUGGCAGGAAGUUGCUGGGUGGGCAAGUGGUACAACAGACGCCACCCAUGCUGCUGAAAAUUGGGAAUCAUCGCGAGGUCAUCAGUUUCAAUGUCACCCAACUGUCAGACACGCCCAUAGUGUUAGGCAUGAGUUGGCUGGAUAGACACAGCCCAUCAUUGGCGUGGUACCAGCGGCAGCUCACCUUUGGCUCGUCCUACUGCGCACAACAUUGCAUCCAGAUCGGCCAGGAGGAGGAGGGCCAGGAGGAAGGGCAACAGCUGCAUCUAGGCAUGGUGCAGGCAGUGGGCUCCGCACAAGUACAAGGGGAUUUUGGAGGUCUUCUGCGAGAAGGAAGCUGACCAAUUACCACCCCACCGGCCCUACGACUGUGCAAUUGACCUCUUACCAGGGGCGACGCUGCCGACUGCGAAGCUGUAUUCCAUGUCUGAAGAUGAGAUGCAGGAGCUCAGGGAGUUCAUAGAUCACAAUUUGAAGCGGGGAUUCAUCCGAGAAUCCAAGGCAGUGGGGGCAGUCCUGUGUUUUUCGUGAAGAAGAAGGACACGCCCCAAAAACGGCUCAUUGUGGACUAUAGGGCCAUAAACUCGAUGACAAAACCCAAGGCUUUCCCCAUGCCCAAGAUUGACGACCUGCUCGCGACGGUGAGGAAGGGGAGGAUCUUCACCAAGUUGGAUCUACGCGGAGCCUACAAUCUAAUACGCAUGAGGGAAGGUGACGAGUGGAAGACGGCCAUGUUCACGCCGCUGGGCACCUAUGAAUACAGAGUUAUGCCGUUUGGUCUCCAAGGUGGCUCCCACUGUUUUCAAGCAUUCAUGCACCACGUGCUAGCAGGACUCCUCUACAAGAAGUGCGUAUGUUUUCUCGACGAUAUUCUGAUCUUCUCGGAAUCGCAGGAGACUCACGAAAGAGACGUAAAGGAGGUCCUGCAGAGGCUACGGGAGCACAGACUCUACGCCAAGCUGGAGAAGUGCCAGUUCGACGUGACGGAGGUGGAUUUCCUGGGCUACCGGCUGUCCGACAAGGGACUAGCCAUGGACAGCGCCAAGGUCCGCGCGGUGUUGGACUGGAAUAGCCCGCGCAAUCGGAAGGAGGUCCAGCGGUUCGUCGGCUUCGCCAACUUUUACCGCAAGUUCAUCAGGGGUUUCGCGAAAGAGACGGCAGCUAUCACGGACACCCUCAGUUCCAAGAAGAAAAAGUUCACCUGGACGGACCAGGCGGAGCAGUCCUUCAGGAGACUUAAGAGUCUCUUCGCGUCCGAAGACCAGCUGCUACACGUGAAUCCCGGCAGGCCCAUGCGGGUUGAGACUGACGCAUCUGACAGAGCAGUGGGGGCCGUCCUCUUGCAGGAAGAUUCGCAAGAGAACUGGAGGCCCUGCGCUUUCUAUUCCCGGAAGCUCAGCAAGUCGGAACAGAACUACACCAUCUGGGACAGGGAGUUGUUGGCCAUCCACGCGGCUUUCAAGGCGUGGCGGCACUUCCUCAUCGGAGCCAAGCACACCGUGCAGGUCCGCACGGACCACAAGAACCUAGAGUAUUGGCGCACGGCGAAGCUCCAGAGCCAGAGGCACAUGAGAUGGGCGGAGUUCUUUGCGGAUUUCGAUUUCCGGAUAGAGUAUAUCCCGGGAGACAACAACGUCAUAGCGGAUGCGCUCUCCAGGAAACCGCAGUAUCUUGAGGAAGCGGCACCAGUGGCAGCCAGGCACAUUUUUGCACCGCAAGCGUGGGCGUGCGCUUCUGCCGCCGUGGACCUGGACGCGGUACGACGCGCGCUACAGACGGAUCCGUUCGCACAAUCCAAGAUGGAGGAGGUGCGAAGAGGGACAGCAAAGGACGGCGAAUUCCAGAUACGCGACGGCCUGCUGACCCGCAAGGGUGCUCUCUACGUCCCGGGAGACGAUCUCCGCGCGAAGGUUUUACAGCAGUUACACGACGCCCCCCAGCGCGGGUCACUUCGGCAAGGAGAAGACGGCGGACUUAGUAGCCAGAGACUUUUGGUGGCCCCAGAUGCGGGGAGAGGUCGCGGAUUACGUCGCCAGGUGUGACACUUGUCAGAGGUCCAAGCCAGUGCACAAGAAGCCAGCGGGAUUGCUAGAACCGCUGGAGACGCCACUGCAGCCGUGGGAAAGGGUGGCGCUGGACUUUGUCACUGAUCUGCCCAGUUCGCGGGGCAAGACGGCGGUGCUUGUGGUUGUAGAUCUGUUCACCAAGAUGGCGCACUUCAUUCCUUGCGCGAAGGUGGCAACAGCGGAACAGACCGCCAAGCUGUUCAUAGACCACGUGUUCCGGGUGCACGGCUUACCACGGUCCAUUUUGUCCGACCGGGAUCGCCAAUUCAUUUCCAGUUUCUGGCAGACGCUCCUGGGCAUCCUGAAUGUCAAGAUCAACUUAGCGUCGGCGAGACACCCGCAAACCAACGGCCAAGCGGAGAGGGUCAACGCCAUCAUGCAGCAGUACCUGCGAUGUUACGCCAAUCAAAAGCCUGCAACUUGGGUGGACUACUUACCGAUGGCCGAGUUUGCCUACAACAACACGAAGCACGCGUCAACGGGGGUGACACCGUUCUUCGCCAACAAUGGACGACAUCCCAGAACCUUCCCGGCGUUGGAGACAACGACGCAGGGGGAGUCGCAGGGAGCGGAACAUUUAGCAGCAGAAUUGCAGGAGGUCCACGAGGAGCUACGACGGCACUUGGAACUAGCUAAACACGCCUACAAAGUGCAGGCAGACAGGCACAGGAGGGCAGGAGAAGACAUCCAGGUGGGGGACUGGGUAUGGUUAGCAGCCCAGGCGGUGCCGGCCAAGUCGUUAGCUAAGAAGAAGCUAGGACACAAACAGCUAGGGCCAUACCAAGUUGAGGGCAGGAUCAAUCCCGUAGCUUUUCGGUUGACCCUCCCAGAGGAUUCCCGAAUGCACCCGGUCUUUCAUAGGUCGGUGCUUACACCCUACAAGGCCCCACACAGAUUUCAGGAGCCAGGGACGGCACCAGACCCACGUAGAAAGUCACCAGGGGGGGGGAAGUCACCGAGGACCCCGACACUCAACGAGGUCACGGAACUUCUGGACUCGAGAUGGGGGGAGGAGGGAGUGGAAUACCUCCUCGCCAGGGAAGGUACCCCGGCCAGCGCCAACAGUUGGGUGCCAGAUUAUGCUCUGGAGGAACCUUUUCUUAAGGACGAGUUCCAUGCACUCUUCCCACACAGGCCCAUGCCAGAGGAGUAUUUUGACGACUGGCUUUUUACCCCCACACUUUCAGGCAGCACCUUCCGGGGGUUCUCCUCCGCAGAGGAGACCACGCCGCAAUCGAGCCCUCCAAGGGGAUCGUGCUCGGGGGUGGACACGGACCGCUCUUAUUGGUGGGACGAUCAACCAGAAGUGGGGUGGCGAAGGGGGCCUUGGCAAGCAGCUUCGCCUGAAGUAACAGGGGGAGGGAAGGGUUUGGAGGUGUGGGGGAGGACCCCGGUUUCGAGCAUUCCUACACUGAACUGGAAGCAGAGGAGAUCGACGUCGACGAACUGUAUCCAGCAUCUACCCCCGCUACAACGAAGCUCCCGGAACCUGCGCCCGAGCAGCGGGAGGGGGGAAGGGGGCUUCGAGGGGGAUGGAUGUCAGGGGUUCAGGGAGAGAGGCACAGGGUAGGCAGGAGAUGGAGAGCGAUGGGGAGGAAUUCCAAGCCAGCGAGGAAGAGGAUGACAAUGACUCAAGAGAUUCCAUGAGUCUUUCCAGCGAAUCAGAGGAUUCCCAGAAGGGGGCGCCGGUGGUUAAGGCCAGGGAGCCCCAGGGGGGACGUGUCAGGAGCAGGGGGCCAGCGGAGGAUCCCAAAGUGGCAGCUGGGCGUCAGGACCAGCCUCCCCACCAGAGUGCAGCGAAGGGGGUGGAGUUUCCAGUGUGUCAGAGGAAGCAGCUCCGGGAGCAGAGAAAGGAGGGAGGUCAGAGCAAGCCGCCCUUCCGGAAGGGGAGGGAGCAGUGAAGGGAGUAGUGUAACUGUCAAAAGGAAAGUUAGAGGUUUGGCGCGCGCGCCUAGUUCAAAUGUAGAGGCGCGCGGAAGUACAGGGAGCCCGGAGGAGGGGCCAGGUCCCAAUGCCCGCAGGAGGGGGAAGAGCAGUCUGGGGAUUCAGCGUCAGAGGAAUCCAGGAGGGGCGAAACCCCAGCGGGCAGAAGGACCCUGCGGAAAAGGAAGGAGAGAAAGAGGUGGAGCAGCGCAAGUCUCUUAAAUUGGUGCAGGGGAGGGACUGACUCAGAGGGGACUUCAGCGGUCUAAGCGUAAGAGACGUAAGGCUGCGCGCCUAGGAUGUCAAGCAAACCAUGAACUGCAAUAAACACCUUUGUAUAUAAGAAGACAUAGGCAUUGGUCUUUUGUGAGCUGAGACUUGAGGCAGCCUUGACACUAUCGAUUAAUAAUUAAUUCAUCAACAGUGCUCCGAACUUUAUUGAUGCACAAUAAUUGUAUACUAACAUUUAAUUACAGUCAAAUUAUUAAUUGAUUGGUGAUAUUAAUACUAAUU
Non-coding RNA from Podarcis lilfordi (Lilford's wall lizard), 5779 nucleotides. NCBI's taxonomy places the organism in Eukaryota, Metazoa, Chordata, Lepidosauria, Squamata, Lacertidae. The record is from the annotation of a GenBank genome assembly.